RNAcentral lists this ribosomal RNA (502 nucleotides) under uncultured bacterium. Its description in RNAcentral is "bacterial SSU rRNA". It matches the Rfam family "Bacterial small subunit ribosomal RNA", at positions 28 to 520 of the family's 1533-position model. The record is from RNAcentral.
GACGAACGCUGGCGGCGUGCUUAACACAUGCAAGUCGAACGAGAGGACAAGAGAAGCUUGCUUCUUUUGGAAUCGAGUGGCAAACGGGUGAGUAACACGUAAACAACCUGCCUUCAGGAUGGGGACAACAGACGGAAACGACUGCUAAUACCGAAUACGCUUGGGAGACCGCAUGAUCUUCCAAGGAAAGGGUGGCCUCUACUUGUAAGCUAUCGCCUGAAGAGGGGUUUGCGUCUGAUUAGGCAGUUGGUGAGGUAACGGCCCACCAAACCUACGAUCAGUAGCCGGCCUGAGAGGGUGAACGGCCACAUUGGGACUGAGACACGGCCCAAACUCCUACGGGAGGCAGCAGUGGGGAAUAUUGCACAAUGGGGGAAACCCUGAUGCAGCGACGCCGCGUGAGUGAUGAAGUAUUUCGGUAUGUAAAACUCUAUCAGCAGGGAAGAUAAAUGACGGUACCUGACUAAGAAGCACCGGCUAAAUACGUGCCAGCAGCCGACGG